Molecule: long non-coding RNA, 2249 nt
Organism: Cornus florida
Lineage: Eukaryota; Viridiplantae; Streptophyta; Magnoliopsida; Cornales; Cornaceae
Exons: 2
Source: RefSeq, a predicted model, not a curated record
AGAGAUAAGAUUGGAAUCGGAGAUGGGUUUUUUUAGGAUUUGCAGUAACAUGCUUUGAUGUUCUUGCUUGGUAUUGUAUUAACUUCUUCUUCUUCUUCUUCAUUUUUUUUUUUUCACCACAAAAUGAGAAAAUUUUGGAAGAAAUUAGUAAUUUUUUUUUUUUUUUUUUUAAUCCUACAAACAAAUUAAUCUGCUUUUGUUUAUCUAUUUCCAUUUUCCUUUCGAAGACCCAAAAUUUCAUGUUAGAUGCUCUGUGAUCCUUUUGGACUUGAUUUGCUGCUCUUUAUUUCAUUUCAAGUUCAUGCUCAGUAUUAUAUAUAUAAUAUUGCAAAGUAUGUGUGUAUAAUCAAUUUAUUAUAUAUAUAAUAUUGCUGGUAUAGUUAUUACAUCCUUCUUGCUGCACUCAAUUUAUUUACCUGAGCCUUGUAUCUCAUUAAUUGAGUUACCUUCUAAGCUCUGAAGAGCUUUGCAAUGCAGGUUUUUUCAAUUUUUUAAUUUUUUAUGUCCACACGCGAAUAUGUUUCUUGUAUCAUGGGACUGUUUACGAAGAGAUGAGAAAAUGUGGUAUAAAAAUCUUACAUACAUACCUAUAUUAUUUAUCAAAAUCUACAAAAAGGUAAUACCGUAAUUUCAUUAUUAUUCUUUCAUUUUUUUUUUCUCCAUUUUAUCCAAACAGUAAUAUUAUGUUUUCCUUUUUUAUCUUUUCUAUUUAUUCCAAACAUUAUAAUUACCAUUUCUGUUUUUUUUCUUUUCCUCCCUAAUCUUUUCUUUUCUCUCCUCCUUAUCCAAACAAAGAUCAAGCCCCUUAGCUUGCCCUUCCCAUAUCUCUCUAACCCUUAUAACCCUAGCUGCCUCACUCUUCCCCCAUCACCCCUCACCUCUCAUAUCUCAACACAACACCGAGCACCACACUACCAUCACCAGCUCCGGCCGAAUCAAACCCACCCCAACCUCAGGCCACCGUCUCUAACAUUUCAAGCGCAACUUACAGUCACCGAGUUCUUUAUUUCUAGCUAUUUUUUUUUUUUUUUUUUUCCUGGGUUCUGGGUUCUCUUCCGGCGAGCUUGUGAAUCGCUAUUUUUUUUUUUCGGCGAUAUUUAGGCUGGGUUCUCUCCAGCGAUUGCAGUUGGGUUCUUUUCCGGAUCGCGGCUGUUCAUCUUCUCCGGCGUUGCGGCUGGUACUUCAAACGGCGACUGGCUGUUUUCUCCAGCGAUUUUGGCUGGAUUUUGGCUGGUUCUUCUCCAGCGAUCGCGGCUCUCUUCCCGGCGAUUUGGACUGGGUUCUUCUCCAGCGAUUUUGUGGUUCACCGUUCUUCUACUCGAAGGUUAAAUAAGGUUCAAACAAACUAAUUUUGGUUCACUAAAGCCUUUUUGGAGUCAAGCAAAGACAUUCAGAAAAAGUUCAGAAAAUAGCAAAAAGAUGUCACAGCCUAUUGCUCGUAUAGUGUGUUUAUUCUUCAAAAACGGUCAAUUUUGGGCCUUUAAUGAUGUUUCCAAAGAUAAAUAAGCAAAUCAAUUAGCCCGGGGCCAAAAUGGAACUAAAUAAGGCUUAAAGGAAAUUUCUAACUCUAGGGGAUUGAUCCCCUACUAUUCACAGAACUAAAAAUACCCUUGGGGGAUCGAUCGCCAAGGCUGAGGGAUCGAUCCCCCAACACCUGGCAGCAUUGCGGGAUUGAUGUUUACUUGGUUAUGAGAUUUUGUUUUUUGAGCUUAUUUUUGUAACUUAUAGGCUUUAAUAAGAUUUGUUACUUAAGGCCCAAUGAAUCAUUAGUUUAUGAUUAGUUGUUAUUUUAAUUAAAAGAGUUUUAUUUUAUAAUGAUAAGUUGGAUUUUACGGAAAAAAAUAUCACGUUCUCUCUGGUGAAAGAGGCGAGGGUUAGAAGAGAGGGAAGAGUGGAGGCAUAAGGUUUAGGAAGAACAUCUACACACUCAUCUCUCUAGAGCUUCAAGGAAGAAGAAGAAGGAGCAAAGCAUGGAGGAGGAUCUUGUUGACACCUUGACCACCACAACCAUGAUGGGCUAGAUCUCCACUUAGGGCUUAGUUAAACCCUAAGUUUAUGUAUUUUUAAACCCUUAUAUUUCUAUUUUUAGGGAGAUUAAUAUAUUGUUGUAUUUGAUGUUAUGACUUUGUGAUUCUUAUUUGCAUGCUAGAUUUGACAAAUCAUGGCUUGUGUUGGUUUAAUUCUUCGAUUAACUCUAUAUGUUAACUAUAUGUCUAUAUAUAAUUAAUCUAGGGUUAUGCUUUUGAUUA